RNAcentral lists this ribosomal RNA (507 nucleotides) under uncultured Bacillus sp. RNAcentral describes it as "bacterial SSU rRNA". It matches the Rfam family "Bacterial small subunit ribosomal RNA", at positions 17 to 507 of the family's 1533-position model. Lineage: Bacteria; Bacillati; Bacillota; Bacilli; Caryophanales; Bacillaceae. The record is from RNAcentral.
UCCUGGCUCAGGACGAACGCUGGCGGCGUGCCUAAUACAUGCAAGUCGAGCGAAUUGAUGGGAGCUUGCUCCCUGAUAUUAGCGGCGGACGGGUGAGUAACACGUGGGCAACCUGCCUGUAAGACUGGGAUAACUCGCGGAAACGUGAGCUAAUACCGGAUAAUUCUUUCUAACACAUGUUAGGAAGCUAAAAGAUGGUUUACGCUAUCACUUACAGAUGGGCCCGCGGCGCAUUAGCUAGUUGGUGAGGUAAUGGCUCACCAAGGCGACGAUGCGUAGCCGACCUGAGAGGGUGAUCGGCCACACUGGGACUGAGACACGGCCCAGACUCCUACGGGAGGCAGCAGUAGGGAAUCUUCCGCAAUGGACGAAAGUCUGACGGAGCAACGCCGCGUGAGUGAUGAAGGUUUUCGGAUCGUAAAACUCUGUUGUUAGGGAAGAACAAGUAUCGGAGUAACUGCCGGUACCUUGACGGUACCUAACCAGAAAGCCACGGCUAACUACGUG